UCAAAGGCUUUACUAAAAGCCAACAAAAUUGGCCAAGAUGAAGAAA
Rattus norvegicus (Norway rat) is the source of this 46-nucleotide non-coding RNA. NCBI's taxonomy places the organism in Eukaryota, Metazoa, Chordata, Mammalia, Rodentia, Muridae. The record is from Rfam.